CCGAUCUUGAUACUUUACAACCCUGAUGUUUGUUUACCUUUUGCACUUGCCAAUUAAUUGGUAAAAAUAAAUAUAUAAAUUGAUCUUGAAGCUGCUGUGGAGGAAAAAUAGCAAACGAUACACAUAUAAUAUGAUGUGCGUGUGUGUGUAUACAUGCAGGUAUGUGAUUAUUUGGUGAAGGUUAGAAUGGAGAAGCGCAUACACUUGUUGUUCAACGGAGCGAAAGCCUAUGUGUGCAGAUAUGUCUUGAUGUACUUGCGUACAUCAAUAUGGCGAUCGGUUAAAUUUUUGGAUGCCCUUAUGGCCACGAACAAUAUUUUAUUUGCGGUUUUUUUUUUGAAUUUUUUAAAUACAAUUGCCCCUCGCUUUAACCACGGACAAUGUGAAGCGAAAAAAUAUAUGUUCAGACACACAAAUAUGAAUUAAUCGGACUGGAGUUGCCGGAAAUUUGGCAAUGGACGAGUUGAGGUAGGUGCACUGCUACUUAUCUUGUUUGAAUUUGUAGCUGUUCCUGGAACCUUUUAUUGCAGAUCCACCAAUGCUUGCUGGGGCGAACUGGAUAUGCCAAAUGUUGAUGAAGUAUCCGGCUCGAAGGACCAAAUGUUGUAGUAGGGCGUCCGCAGGGCUUCCAGAUGAACUUUACAAAUUGCUGUAUCGUUGGGGGAGCGUUUCUGCUCUUCACAAAUUUUCUUAGUAGGUUUGAAAAAAACACGUUUGUUCGCUUGCAGGUUAUUUUUUCUUCUGUUCUAUAUUUUCAGAGUACAUUACAAUGUAUUAGUGUAAGUGAGGUGAAAUUUCAUGUUCCAUGUACUGGUUCCGGAGUUACAUGGCGGUUGGAUGGCGACUGCCGGAUACACUUCUUGUGUGAACAGUGCCUAUGCUGCAGCGG
Molecule: long non-coding RNA, 889 nt
Organism: Drosophila montana
Lineage: Eukaryota; Metazoa; Arthropoda; Insecta; Diptera; Drosophilidae
Exons: 3
Source: RefSeq, a predicted model, not a curated record